This 252-nucleotide ribosomal RNA is filed under the name uncultured bacterium. RNAcentral describes it as "partial 16S ribosomal RNA". It matches the Rfam family "Bacterial small subunit ribosomal RNA", at positions 524 to 776 of the family's 1533-position model. The record is from RNAcentral.
UACGUAGGGGGCUAGCGUUAUCCGGAAUUACUGGGCGUAAAGGGUGCGUAGGUGGUUUCUUAAGUCAGAGGUGAAAGGCUACGGCUCAACCGUAGUAAGCCUUUGAAACUGGGAAACUUGAGUGCAGGAGAGGAGAGUGGAAUUCCUAGUGUAGCGGUGAAAUGCGUAGAUAUUAGGAGGAACACCAGUUGCGAAGGCGGCUCCCUGGACUGUAACUGACACUGAGGCACGAAAGCGUGGGGAGCAAACAGG